RNAcentral lists this small RNA (18 nucleotides) under Arabidopsis thaliana (thale cress). Its description in RNAcentral is "snRNA_08539". Lineage: Eukaryota; Viridiplantae; Streptophyta; Magnoliopsida; Brassicales; Brassicaceae. The record is from RNAcentral.
GCGCUGGAUUAUGACUGA